Molecule: ribosomal RNA, 341 nt
Filed under: uncultured bacterium
Lineage: Bacteria
Description: bacterial SSU rRNA
Rfam family: Bacterial small subunit ribosomal RNA
Source: RNAcentral
GACGAACGCUGGCGGCGUGCUUAACACAUGCAAGUCGAACGGGGCGAAGUGAUAGCUUGCUAUUAUGGAGCCUAGUGGCAAACGGGUGAGUAACGCGUAGGCAACCUGCCCUUCAGAUGGGGACAACACCUCGAAAGGGGUGCUAAUACCGAAUGACGUUUCCUGGUCGCAUGACCUGGAAACCAAAGGCCGGGCAACCGGUCACUGAAGGAUGGGCCUGCGUCUGAUUAGCUAGUUGGUGGGUAACGGCGUCACCAAGGCGACGAUCAGUAGCCGGUCUGAGAGGUCGAUCGGCACAUUGGGACUGAGACACGGCCCAGACUCCUACGGGAGGCAGCAGU